This 492-nucleotide ribosomal RNA is filed under the name uncultured bacterium. RNAcentral's name for it is "partial 16S ribosomal RNA". It matches the Rfam family "Bacterial small subunit ribosomal RNA", at positions 29 to 507 of the family's 1533-position model. The record is from RNAcentral.
AGUGAACGCUGGCGGUAGGCCUAACACAUGCAAGUCGAACGGCAGCACAGUGAGAGCUUGCUCUUACGGGUGGCGAGUGGCGGACGGGUGAGGAAUACAUCGGAAUCUACUUUUUCGUGGGGGAUAACGUAGGGAAACUUACGCUAAUACCGCAUACGACCUACGGGUGAAAGCAGGGGAUCUUCGGACCUUGCGCGAUUGAAUGAGCCGAUGUCGGAUUAGCUAGUUGGCGGGGUAAAGGCCCACCAAGGCGACGAUCCGUAGCUGGUCUGAGAGGAUGAUCAGCCACACUGGAACUGAGACACGGCCCAGACUCCUACGGGAGGCAGCAGUGGGGAAUAUUGGACAAUGGGCGCAAGCCUGAUCCAGCCAUACCGCGUGGGUGAAGAAGGCCUUCGGGUUGUAAAGCCCUUUUGUUGGGGAAGAAAAGCAGCAGGUUAAUACCCCGCUGUUCUGACGGUACCCAAAGAAUAAGCACCGGCUAACUUCGUG